This is a long non-coding RNA of Oreochromis niloticus (Nile tilapia), 451 nucleotides long. RefSeq lists it as uncharacterized. NCBI's taxonomy places the organism in Eukaryota, Metazoa, Chordata, Actinopteri, Cichliformes, Cichlidae. The transcript is spliced from 3 exons. The record is from RefSeq and is a predicted model, not a curated record.
GGUAAUAAUUUUCAGCUAUGGUCACUAGUCUAGUCUGUCUAGCUCCCUAUCAGCCCUCAGUGUGUGCGUGUGUGUAGUUUUCUCUUUCCUUAUCCAGCUUUUACUUAGUUCCGUGUAAGUUCCAGUCAACGUUCUGCUUUGUUCUGUGCAUCCAUGUGUGCUUCCACCUGUCUUGUUCCCACGUGACUUGCUGUGAUUUUCGGACUUUGGUUUUCCUUUCAAAACAAACGAGUUAUCCAGAACAUUUGGCAGAUGGCGACUAAGAAUGUGUGAAGAAUGGCAACGAUGCACCACUAUAAAAGGAAGACGGAUGAUUGGCAGUCACAUAUGCAUGAACGAGGCAGUAAGAAGAAAGAAGAACACCUGUCCCUGGAAUUAGAGAGAAUGCCAGUGAGCACAGGCGUGAUUGUGUGUCUGUAAUUGUGUAAGCAGUGAACUGAGUCCUCCAUCC